GGAAUCUUAGACAAUGGGGGAAACCCUGAUCUAGCCAUGCCGCGUGAGCGAUGAAGGCCUUAGGGUUGUAAAGCUCUUUCGCUGGGGAAGAUAAUGACGGUACCCAGUAAAGAAGCCCCGGCUAACUCCGUGCCAGCAGCCGCGGUAAUACGGGGGGGGCAAGCGUUGUUCGGAUUUACUGGGCGUAAAGGGCGCGUAGGCGGUUUGCUAAGUCGGAUGUGAAAACUGGGGGCUCAACCCUCAGCCUGCAUCCGAUACUGGCAGACUAGAGUGCGAGAGGGGAAGGCGGAAUUCCUGGUGUAGCGGUGAAAUGCGUAGAUAUCAGGAGGAACACCGGUGGCGAAGGCGGCCUUCUGGAUCGCAACUGACGCUGAGGCGCGAAAGCUAGGGGAGCA
RNAcentral lists this ribosomal RNA (395 nucleotides) under uncultured bacterium. RNAcentral's name for it is "bacterial SSU rRNA". It matches the Rfam family "Bacterial small subunit ribosomal RNA", at positions 358 to 770 of the family's 1533-position model. The record is from RNAcentral.